Long non-coding RNA from Calypte anna (Anna's hummingbird), 381 nucleotides. RefSeq lists it as uncharacterized. Lineage: Eukaryota; Metazoa; Chordata; Aves; Apodiformes; Trochilidae. The record is from RefSeq and is a predicted model, not a curated record. The transcript has 3 exons.
GGGCGUGGUCAAACCGCCACCCUAUAAAUAGGUCCCGGCUGCGCUCAGGGCUCCUCUCGGCCGCUGCUGCCGCCAUUUUCUGUGGCCGCCGGUACCGGCCGCCUCCAUCCGCCUCCAUCCGCCUCCAUCCGCCGCCCACGGUGCCGCUCGCCCGCCGGGACUGAGCGCGGAGCCUCCGCACCGCCAUGAGGGCCAAGUGGCGCAAGAAGCGAAUGCGCAGGCUGAAGCGCAAGAGAAGGAAGAUGAGGCAGAGGUCCAAGUAGACGCCGCCCGGUACCGCGGGAAGGGUUCGGUACCGCGGGAUGGACCCGCUGCACCGGGCCGGUGCUGUUGCUCCGUGGCCGCCGUUGUGCCGCGAAUAAAGUUGUUGCUUUCGGGAAA